CCUACGGGGUGCAGCAGUGAGGAAUAUUGGUCAAUGGCCGCAGGGCUGAACCAGCCAAGUCGCGUGAGGGAUGACGGUCCUAUGGAUUGUAAACCUCUUUUGUCAGGGAGCAAAGGGCGCCACGUGUGGCGCUUUGCGAGUACCUGAAGAAAAAGCAUCGGCUAACUCCGUGCCAGCAGCCGCGGUAAUACGGAGGAUGCGAGCGUUAUCCGGAUUUAUUGGGAUUAAAGGGUGCGCAGGCGGAAUGUCAAGUCAGCGGUAAAAUUUCGGGGCUAAACCCCGUCGUGCCGUUGAAACUGGCGUUCUUGAGUGAGCGAGAGGUAUGCGGAAUGCGUGGUGUAGCGGUGAAAUGCAUAGAUAUCACGCAGAACUCCGAUUGCGAAGGCAGCAUACCGGCGCUCAACUGACGCUCAUGCACGAAAGCGUGGGUAUCGAACAGGAUUAGAUACCCUAGUAGUC
Molecule: ribosomal RNA, 459 nt
Filed under: uncultured bacterium
Lineage: Bacteria
Description: partial 16S ribosomal RNA
Rfam family: Bacterial small subunit ribosomal RNA
Source: RNAcentral